AUCUGAAUAAGAGAGGGCCAAAGAUUGUAAUGAAAUUCCUCUGACUCUAAAUGAAGCUGGACAAAGGGGUCUAAAUACGUUAACUCGUUAUGCAAUAUUAAACAGUGAAGAAACAAUAUUUUCUAAACAGCACUUCCCACCGAGCACUCCGUUCAGUAAAACUUAUCACUGCAGUGAGAUGUGUGUGUUCGUUCAUUCAUUCUUUUAUCCUGGAAUCUGUUGGCGGGCAGCGACUAUCUGUCAGGCAUGGGGUUUAUCCCGAGCUCAAACGGGACAAUGUAGGCUAAAAGGCUCAUUCGAGUGUGUUCCGAAGUGUUUUGUAGAUGUCGGUACCAGCCAGGUUACUGGCCCCAAACUUUCCUGUCCUUGGACAGGCAGCCUCCCUCUGAUUUACAGGUGCUUACCCUCUCCAAUACACCAUUAGCUCUCUGUUCACGAUCCCCAUUUUUAUAGCUCUUGACAAGUUCUAAGCUUUCUUCAGUUUGUCUUACUGCCCUCUGUAUAUUAUGGUAACAGAAAGAAAAAGCACUGUUAGUAUGUCUUAAAAUUGUGCUAUCAUCAAGGAAUAAAUGUACACUCUGAUUGAAGAUUAAUGCAAAUGGGACCUCCAGUUGGCUUUAUUUAAUAAUAAAUAAUAAUAGGUAAUAAUCCUAGUUGGAUUUAUUUAAUAAUGACUUAAAGAAAAACUAAUCUUUUAAUAAGAUAAGAGACAGUGAGGUGUAAGCAUUUCUUCAUUUUGAAACUUCUUAAAAAUGUACAUUUUCCAAACUACUCAGGAAACCAAGUGAAAAGUGUGGUUUCCAGCUAUUCCAAUAGGAACACUUUAGUGUUCCGACAGCACUUGCGUUGUGAAUCUUCUCACUUUCUGUCUUGGGAUCCAUAAGGGAUAAAUAAGGAUAAAUGUGAGAAGACCAAACUAAAGGGAGCAACAACAUUAGAGGAAAACGUUAAGCACAGAUAGCAAGCAAAGGAGAAUCAACACAUACUCAGUCGGAGAACCUGACGAAGGAACACAACACAAAACAAAAUAGCUAUUUUGAAAUGCAUAUCAAGCAAGUAUUACAGAAGUAAAAUAAUAAUCUACAUUUUAAAAUAACAGCUCACGGCACAAAAUGUUGAACUAAGUGACCUAUUCCAAGACAACAAAGAGUAAAAUUACUAAAGAUUAUUUUGAGCUAAAAGAACUUGAAAUGGCAGACGUAGGAAGGGCACUUGGACUUCUUUUCUUUCUGAAAGCAGGAGAUAAAACUCUUCAUGUAGAAGAUGCUCUCCCUAUACCGCGAGGAAAAAACCAAUCUUUUCACCAGAGAUGAGGAGUUGAAGCCAGGAGAAAUCUAUACAGACAGACCUUGCGGAAAUAACCCUUAAUCUUCCUGAAUGAAAACUAUACACGCCCCUCGGAAUUGCUGCGAAGUAGCUUGGCGUGGUGCACAGCUGGAACUCAGAAAACAUCGAGAAGAAAUGUUAGAGAAGGAAGUGAGGGGAUCGGGGUUGGCAUGUGACCCUAACAGGACCAGAAUUCCCGGAGUCAAAGCAUCAUCAGAAUAAUGAUAUACAAUUGCAAUGACGUCUGCCUGCAUCACAAGGGAACUUCAAUUAAACCCCAGCACAGAGGAAAGCCCACUUGGACUUGACCCAGAAGUCAUUGGUUGGGUCUUCACUGUGGUCUUUGGUGAUCGUGAGACCCAACACUACACCCAGAGCAGAGACUCUGGCACGCCUGGGGGCCUGUUCUGGGGGGUUCUUCUUCCCCCCAGUCUUCAUCAUCUUCCGGAGAGGAACUCACCUACUCCUGUGACGAUGACCAUCACCCAGGAAUCACUCACAGACCUCUGAGCCCAACUGUCUUCUGUAGGUGCAAAAACUUACACGCUUCAUAAACUCUGUUGUUAACAAAACUCUUAUGCUGCCCUAUUCAGUCCCAUAUGUAAAUUUUGAGUCUCCAAACUGUGAAAGUUUCUACAAGUUAGUCAAAGAAAUCUCGGCAAAAUAAGGAGGAAAUAUUUUGUCUUCCCCUGUAGCCUCACAAAAGCAGGUACCUGCAUCAUAAAACUGACCUUGCAGAGGUUAUUUCUAAGACUUUAGAGAUCAUUACUCUGCCGCUUGACUGUAACUUUCAACUCUGGAAAAGUCUACAAUUCCAACGGGUUACCUUCACAAAUUAUUUUUUGUCUGGGAUCAUAUUUAAAUUACAUUGCUGCUUUUGACUGUGACAAACACCUGUGAGUUUUCUUUGCAAAUCCAGAAAUAAAAUCAGCGCACUUGUCACAUGUAAUCCUGAAAGUAAACUCAAACUUUUCACUC
Molecule: long non-coding RNA, 2304 nt
Organism: Lynx canadensis (Canada lynx)
Lineage: Eukaryota; Metazoa; Chordata; Mammalia; Carnivora; Felidae
Exons: 2
Source: RefSeq, a predicted model, not a curated record